Molecule: ribosomal RNA, 459 nt
Filed under: uncultured bacterium
Lineage: Bacteria
Description: SSU rRNA
Rfam family: Bacterial small subunit ribosomal RNA
Source: RNAcentral
AGAAUCAACGCUGGCGGCGUGCCUAACACAUGCAAGUCGAACGAGAAAGUGGAGCAAUCCAUGAGUAAAGUGGCGCACGGGUGAGUAACACGUGACUAACCUACCUUUUAGUGGGGGAUAACCUAGGGAAACCUGGGCUAAUACCGCAUAAUACCUACGGGUCAAAGCAGCAAUGCGCUGAAAGAGGGGGUCGCGGUCGAUUAGUUAGUUGGCAGGGUAAUGGCCUACCAAGACUGUGAUCGAUAUCCGGCCUGAGAGGGCGCACGGACACACUGGAACUGAAACACGGUCCAGACUCCUACGGGAGGCAGCAGUGGGGAAUUUUGCGCAAUGGGGGAAACCCUGACGCAGCAACGCCGCGUGGAGGAUGAAGUCCCUUGGGACGUAAACUCCUUUCGAUCGGGACGAUAAUGACGGUACCGGAAGAAGAAGCCCGGCUAACUUCGUGCCGGCAGCCGC